This is a long non-coding RNA of Limulus polyphemus (Atlantic horseshoe crab), 509 nucleotides long. RefSeq lists it as uncharacterized. The transcript has 3 exons. The record is from RefSeq and is a predicted model, not a curated record. Lineage: Eukaryota; Metazoa; Arthropoda; Merostomata; Xiphosura; Limulidae.
CUUAAAACAUGCUUUGAUGACCUGGGGUGAAAAACUUUCUGAUAAGGAGGUUGAAGAUGCUUUCAAAGAAGCUCCAAUGGACAACAAUGGUAAAAUCGACUUAAAGAAAUUUGCUCAAAUUCUUACAAGAGGAGCCGACGAGGAAGAAGAAGCAGGAACGUAAUCGGGCACAAGAGGAACACAGAAGACUGGUUUUCUGUCUUGCUGAAAUCUUUAACACUAGCAGUUGUGAUUACCUACUCACUUUCAGCCAGAAUUAGUCUCGAAUCGCAACUCAUUGGAUUGUGUGAGAAAGCUUGAAUAACUCCCGCACUCAUAAAUCUUCUUGGUUUCCAGGCUCAAAAACAAUUACAGCGGUUACAAAAGUAUAUAAUCGUGUUGAUCCUCACUGUAACAUUUGUGUGGCUGUUUUAAAGCUAUUUCUCAGGAUCUUCAUUUAGUGUGUUGUGGCUUUCUCUAUGACUUUUACACUUUCUGGAAGAAACAAAUAUCUCUGUGUAACAACAAUC